UCAUGAAUAUGGGCUCAAGUAAGAUAA
This 27-nucleotide small RNA is filed under the name Bombyx mori (domestic silkworm). RNAcentral's name for it is "piRNA piR-bmo-2068279". Lineage: Eukaryota; Metazoa; Arthropoda; Insecta; Lepidoptera; Bombycidae. The record is from RNAcentral.